Long non-coding RNA from Brienomyrus brachyistius, 757 nucleotides. RefSeq lists it as uncharacterized. The transcript has 3 exons. NCBI's taxonomy places the organism in Eukaryota, Metazoa, Chordata, Actinopteri, Osteoglossiformes, Mormyridae. The record is from RefSeq and is a predicted model, not a curated record.
GUUUAACUUCUACGGAAUGAAUUCUAUCCUCAGAAAAGAAAGAACUCUUUAUUAAAGUUUACACCAGAUAAGUAAUACAAAGAAAACGAGAGGACUACAGAUAGAUGGACGCUUCAGUUGAGAGAAUCCGCGUCCCGCUGCCUCAUUCUGAAAAAAAGAACAAUUUCAGUUGCAGGGCGCGGCUGAAAGCGGGAGCGGUGGAUUUAAGACGUUUCUGAACGGAUCCCGGUUCGGGAACCUACGGUAUCUUCGAAAGGCUCGCUGCCCCGAUGCCGCAUUAUUGUUAGGUUGGGUUCUGUGGCGGUCUCCAGGUAGCCUAGAACAUGGAGCCUAGGUCAAGCACAUCAAGACCACCAGCCUUCCUGGACUUUUGAAAAAGGAGGACUUGUUAAACGGGGAUCAUCGGACGUUCUUAUCGAUUUCACUCACAUGACGCCAACACGAAAGCGUCCAGUGCCCAGCGGCUGUGGACCUCCGUAGCCCGAUGGAUCCAAUAAAGGAAGGCUAUUCAGCGCACACAAUCCCUUCCGAUACCGUAUUGAUCCCCUGCAGUCUGCAGACAGAGAUAGAGGGGAGGUAGUUCAUCUUUCCCUUCCCGUGUAUGUUUAAAAAACCUUAAAUAGAUUUGAGUAGGAUUAUACUUGCCAAAUACUAGGAGUGAUUAAAGGGAAGUGUACCUAAAAUAUAAAGUGAUUUUGCUGACCAUAGCAGUAUUUAUACGUGUCUAAAGGAAAUUAUUCCACAAAGAUCCUCUCAU